AUUCUUCGGAUGAUUUCCUAUUUGACUGAGCGGCGGACGGGUGAGUAACGCGUGGGUAACCUGCCUCAUACAGGGGGAUAACAGUUAGAAAUGACUGCUAAUACCGCAUAAGACCACAGCACCGCAUGGUACAGCAGGAAAAACUCAGGUGGUAUAGGAUGGGCCCGCGUCUGAUUAGCUAGUUGGUGGGGUAACGGCCUACCAAGGCGACGAUCAGUAGCCGGACUGAGAGGUUGACCGGCCACAUUGGGACUGAGAUACGGCCCAGACUCC
RNAcentral lists this ribosomal RNA (273 nucleotides) under uncultured Eubacteriales bacterium. RNAcentral's name for it is "uncultured Clostridiales bacterium partial 16S ribosomal RNA". It matches the Rfam family "Bacterial small subunit ribosomal RNA", at positions 69 to 339 of the family's 1533-position model. Lineage: Bacteria; Bacillati; Bacillota; Clostridia; Eubacteriales. The record is from RNAcentral.